Molecule: long non-coding RNA, 1571 nt
Organism: Oncorhynchus tshawytscha (Chinook salmon)
Lineage: Eukaryota; Metazoa; Chordata; Actinopteri; Salmoniformes; Salmonidae
Source: Ensembl
UGUAGGGUUAGUGUAGUGUAUGGUUAGUAUAGUGUAGGGUUAGUGUAGUGUAUGGUUAGUGUGGUGUAGGGUUAGUGUAGUGUAUGGUUAGUAUAGUGUAUGGUUAGUGUAGUGUAUGGUUACUGUAGUGUAUGGUUAGUGUAGUGUGGCGUUAGUGUAGUGUGGGGUUAGUGUAGUGUGGGGUUAGUGUAGUGUAGGGUUAGUGUAGUGUGGGGUUAGUGUAGUGUGGGGUUAGUGUAGUGUAGGGUUAGUGUAGUGUAUGGUUAGUGUGGGGUAAGGGUUAGUGUAGUGUAUGGUUAGUAUAGUGUAUGGUUAGUGUCGUGUGGGGUUAGUGUAGUGUAGGGUUAGUGUGGUGUAGGGUUACUGUAGUGUAUGGUUAGUGUAUUGUGGGGUUAGUGUAGUGUGGGGUUAGUGUAGUGUGGGGUAGUUGUAGUGUGGGGUUAGUGUAGUGUGGGGUUAGUGUAGUGUAGGGUUAGUGUAGUGUAGGAGUGUAGGGUUAGUGCAGUGUGGGGUUAGUGUAGUGUAGGAUUAGUGUAGUGUAUGGUUACUGUAGUGUAUGGUUAGUGUAGUGUGGGGUUAGUGUAGUGUGGGGUUAGUGUAGUGUGGGGUUAGUGUAGUGUGGGGUUAGUGUAGUGUGGGGUUAGUGUAGUGUAGGGUUAGUGUAGUGUAGGGUUAGUGUAGUGUAGGAUUAGUGUAGUGUGGGGUUAGUGUAGUGUGGGGUUAGUGUAGUGUAGGGUUAGUGUAGUGUAGGGUUAGUGUAGUGUAUGAUUAGCGUAGUGUGGGUUUAGUGUAGUGUGGAGUUAGUGUAGUGUGGGGUUAGUGUUGUGUUAGUGUAGUGUAGAGUUAGUGUAGUGUGGUGUUAAUGUUGUGUAGUGUGGGGUUAGUGUAGUGUGGGGUUAGUGUAGUGUAGGGUUAGUGUAGUGUGGGGUUAGUGUAGUGUGGGGUUAGUGUAGUGUGGGGUUAGUGUAGGGUUAGUGUAGUGUGGGGUUAGUGUAGUGUAGGGUUAGUGUAGUGUGGGGUUAGUGUAGUGUGGGGUUAGUGUAGGGUUAGUGUAGUGUGGGGUUAGUGUAGUGUGGGGGUAGUGUAGUGUAGGGUUAGUGUAGUGUGGGGUUAGUGUAGUGUAGGAUUAGCGUAGUGUGGGUUUAGUGUAGUGUGGAGUUAGUGUAGUGUGGGGUUAGUGUAGUGUUGUGUUAGUGUAGUGUAGAGUUAGUGUAGUGUGGAGUUAGUGUUGUGUUAGUGUAGUGUGGGGUUAGUGUAGUGUAUGGUUAGUGUAGUGUGGGUUAGUGUAGUGUGGAGUUAGUGUAGUGUGGGUUAGUGCAGUGUAUGGUUAGUGUAGUGUGGGUUAGUGUAGUGUAUGGUUAGUGUAGUGUGGGUUAGUGUAGUGUAGAGUUAGUGUAGUAUGGGUUAGUGUAGUGUAUGGUUAGUGUAGUGUGGGUUAGUGUAGUGUAGGGUUAGUGUAGUGUGGGUUAGUGUAGUGUAGAGUUAGUGUAGUGUGUGUAUGGUUAGUGUAGUGUAGAGUUAGUGUAGUGUGGGGUUAGUGUAGUGUUUAGUGUAUGGUUAGUGUAGUGUAG